This 253-nucleotide ribosomal RNA is filed under the name uncultured bacterium. Its description in RNAcentral is "partial 16S ribosomal RNA". It matches the Rfam family "Bacterial small subunit ribosomal RNA", at positions 524 to 776 of the family's 1533-position model. The record is from RNAcentral.
UACGAAGGGGGCUAGCGUUGCUCGGAAUUACUGGGCGUAAAGCGCACGUAGGCGGAUUGUUAAGUCGGGGGUGAAAUCCUGGAGCUCAACUCCAGAACUGCCUUCGAUACUGGCGAUCUCGAGUUCGGGAGAGGUGAGUGGAACUGCGAGUGUAGAGGUGAAAUUCGUAGAUAUUCGCAAGAACACCAGUGGCGAAGGCGGCUCACUGGCUCGGUACUGACGCUGAGGUGCGAAAGCGUGGGGAGCAAACAGG